AAUGCUAAUAAUUAAGUCCAAGAUGUAUCUAGAAAUUAGACAAAUUCAAAUUCUGAAUUUUUUUUUUUGACUAAUUUGGAUAAUCAAAAUGCUGGUCCUUCAUAUUUUAUUAUAAUUUCCACACACAAAAAAAAGGUGACAAUGGACUUGUUGUAACUCAAAUGGUAAGAGCAAUUACCCCAACAUCUAAGGUCUUAUGUUUGAUUUUCCCUUCUCCCAAUAUUGCUAAUGUUAACAAAAAAAAUAAAAAAAAUUAAAGCGAGAAUGGUACCAAGUGUGCCUGUAUGGCAAGGCAAUGGAAAGUGAUAGAGAACUUGACGCAAAGUACAAAGUGAGAGAUAAUUAGAUGCAUUAAUUGCUUACAAACCUCUACUAGGUUCGAAUCAGAGUUUUAAUGAAAACUAUGGUUAGCGGAGGUACAUGCCAUUUUUGGUAUUUUGAAAAAGGCUUUUUAUCACAAAACGUUCCUGACGUUUGCGAAACUAUCAGAUUACAUCCUUAAAGUUAUUUGUAUCACUCAUGGUUCCUAACGUUAAUAUAGGUGCUUUUAAAUAAUCUCUCUGUUAAAAAAACUGUUAAAUUCAGGGAUAUAAUCGUCAAAUCAAUCUAAAAUUAUAAAAAAUAUAUAUUUUAUUUCCUUCCCUUCUCUCUUUCUUUUUUCUUCUUGGCUACCUGCACCGUUGGACAGGAACAACUUGAAGAAGCUUUGACAAGCCAAACAGGACCAACAAUCCAUUAUCAGGAGGUUCUUCAAGCAUCCUACAAGUCUGGGCCUUUCGGGCUUCUUUCUCCUCCUUCAUGGGUGUAGGGUAUGGCUUCCUCUCUGACAUUUUCCUUGGAGGUCUUGGUACAUCCGCAUGCAAAGGAUAAUCUGCAUCACCAACUAAGAUCAAACGUUGUCUUCCUGCCACCUCCUUGCUUCCUGCACAAAACGUCUUCUCCAUCCUCCCCUCCAUCAAUGCCCUCGCAAAAUUAGAACCUAUAACAUUCUACAUCGUAUGCAAAUUCGAUGUGUCACUACUACAAAAAUCGCAAUAGACGACGGUAAUCCACCAUCGUGUAUCUGGUUUUUCAACCGUCGUGAAAUCGACCGACAUCUUUUGAUGCAUAAAACCACGACGAUAAAUUCCCGUUGUCUAUUAUUUCUAAAGACGACGCUUUUACUCAAAACUGUCGUCUAUUAGAUGGUUUUUUUGAAAGAACUGUCGUCUAUUAAAUGUAAAGACAAUAGUUUUUAGUAAAACCGUCGUUGUUCUGAUGUAAAGACGACAGUCUUUUGGUAAAAACUGUCGUUUAUAGGUGAAGGAGACGAGUUUUAAAUACCGUCAUUAUUUAUAAUAUUCAUGACGGUUGUUUGUUA
Molecule: long non-coding RNA, 1360 nt
Organism: Prunus persica (peach)
Lineage: Eukaryota; Viridiplantae; Streptophyta; Magnoliopsida; Rosales; Rosaceae
Exons: 3
Source: RefSeq, a predicted model, not a curated record